GAAGCUAAAGGAUUUAUUCACUUCCCGAGGGGCUCGCGGUCCAUCAGCUUGUUGGUGAGGGUAACGGCCCACCAAUGCGACAACGGGUAGCUGGUCUGAGAGGAUGGUCAGCCACACUGGAACUGAGACACGGUCCAGACACCUACGGGUGGCAGCAGUCGAGAAUCAUUCGCAAUGGGGGAAACCCUGACGAUGCGACGCCGCGUGGAGGAUGAAGGCCUUAGAGUUGUAAACUCCUGUCAAGAGGGAAUAAGCAAGUGAAGGUACCUCUAGAGGAAGGGGCGGCUAAUUCCGUGCCAGCAGCCGCGGUAACACGGAAGCCCCGAGCGUUGUUCGGAUUCAUUGGGCGUAAAGGGUGCGUAGGCGGCGCGGAAAGUCCGGCGUGAAAGGCAGAGGCUCAACCUCUGGACUGCGUUGGAUACUUCCGUGCUUGAGGACUGGAGGGGAGACUGGAAUUCACGGUGUAGCAGUGAAAUGCGUAGAUAUCGUGAGGAAGACCGGUGGCGAAGGCGAGUCUCUGGACAGAUCCUGACGCUGAGGCACGAAGGCUGGGGGAGCGAACAGGAUUAGAUACCCUGGUAGUCCCAGCAGUAAACGAUGUGAGCUUGAUGUGGGGGGAUUCGACCCCUUCCCGUGUCGAAGCUAACGCGAUAAGCUCACCGCCUGAGGAGUACGGCCGCAAGGCUAAAACUCAAAGAAAUUGACGGGGACCCGCACAAUCGGUGGAGUAUGUGGCUUAAUUCGAUGCAACGCGAAGAACCUUACCUGGCCUUGACAUGCAUUGUGUCGUCGGUGAAAGCCGGCUAGUCCUGGAAACAGGACGCUUUGCACAGGUGCUGCAUGGCUGUCGUCAGCUCGUGUCGUGAGAUGUUGGGUUAAGUCCCGCAACGAGCGCAACCCUUGUGGUCAGUUACUAACCGGCUUAGCCGGAGGACUCUGGCCAGACUGCCCUGUCAAACGGGGAGGAAGCUCGGGACGACGUCAAGUCAGUAUGGCCCUUAUGGCCAGGGCUGCACACGUACUACAAUGCCCGGUACAAUGUGAACCGAAACCGCGAGGUGGAGGAAUCGCUCUUGAAACCGGGCCCAGUUCGGAUUGGAGUCUGCACUCGACUCCAUGAGUCGGAUCGCUAGUAAUGGCGUAUCAGCAAC
This 1151-nucleotide ribosomal RNA is filed under the name uncultured organism. Its description in RNAcentral is "bacterial SSU rRNA". It matches the Rfam family "Bacterial small subunit ribosomal RNA", at positions 197 to 1356 of the family's 1533-position model. The record is from RNAcentral.